UGGGAAUGUAGUUCAAGGGCAGAAUGUCAGUUUGUGGCACUGAAAAUGCGAGUUCGAGUCUCGCCAUUCCCC
Molecule: transfer RNA, 72 nt
Filed under: Phalansterium sp. PJK-2012
Lineage: Eukaryota; Evosea; Variosea
Description: tRNA-His
Rfam family: tRNA
About the family: Transfer RNA (tRNA) molecules are approximately 80 nucleotides in length. Their secondary structure includes four short double-helical elements and three loops (D, anti-codon, and T loops).
Source: RNAcentral